RNAcentral lists this transfer RNA (73 nucleotides) under Planctomycetaceae bacterium. Its description in RNAcentral is "tRNA-Lys". It matches the Rfam family "tRNA". Rfam says of the family: Transfer RNA (tRNA) molecules are approximately 80 nucleotides in length. The record is from RNAcentral. Lineage: Bacteria; Pseudomonadati; Planctomycetota; Planctomycetia; Planctomycetales; Planctomycetaceae.
GCCCUUUUAGCUCAAUUGGCAGAGCAACGGACUCUUAAUCCGUAGGUUCUGGGUUCGACCCCCAGAGAGGGCA